Long non-coding RNA from Felis catus (domestic cat), 3309 nucleotides. RefSeq lists it as uncharacterized. NCBI's taxonomy places the organism in Eukaryota, Metazoa, Chordata, Mammalia, Carnivora, Felidae. The transcript has 2 exons. The record is from RefSeq and is a predicted model, not a curated record.
CGAACUGUGAGAUCAUGACCUGAGCCGAAGUCGGACGCUUAACCGACUGACCCCCCCCCCCCCCCCAGGCACCCCUGUACUUUUCAUUUAAAGGGCAUUUUCAUGGAGUUGCGGAUUCUAGGUUGGAAGCUGCGGUCUUCCCGCCCCCCUGCAGCCCUCCCACUUUCCCGUCCGCAUCCGGAAUUCUUCUUGAAGCCUUACUACUGCCCCUUUUAAGGGCUCCGAGUUACGAGUUUGUCGCUGCUGAAAUCCUGCAACCAGAACUUCGUUUACAAACUCACCAGGUCCUGCGUAGCCGACGUUUCCGAGGACAUGCGGUGUCCCACGCCACACCGAAGCUCUGAUUACUUCCUCUUACGUUCCUCGUACCUUUUUCUGGAAUAAACCAAAGGCACACCGAAUGGAUUCUGCCGUACUUGCUACUGGCGUUUCUUUAACACCCACGGCUCUUUCCUCCUCCUCUGCUCGUGCCUGGGCAUUACUUACCGCUGCUGGUGAUGGUGCUGGGCCUGAGGAGGUUUCUAGACUUUGCUACAAACCAUGUGAACCUGACAAAGUAUGCACACGAUAUACAAACAAUUCUGUUAUUUAUUUAUUUUGAAUAAAAAAGUGGCCAAGAUAAUACUGCGGCUCUGCAUACAAAACACCACAUGUUCGAGGUCGUUCCACAUUUACAAAACUGCCGUUAUGUACAGCACCGGAUAUUCACAGCAACUUUACUAGAAGCAUACGAGCAACUGAGGGGCGUCCAAAGUGGGAAAAAGCUAAAAACCAACCACCUUUCAUUAACUGGAAAACCGGCCAACCAGCUGACCGGUAAAGGAAACGAGUACCUGUUAGGUUUUCCUUCUUCAGCAGUGACUGAAGAAAGACCGCCCCGCAGGGCUGUAUGCCGACAACACACCCUCCACAACCUCCUCUUUGUUUUUUCUCCGCUCUUCUCCACUUCAAACUUCUCCCAGCAACCUUUGCCCUCGUAUUAAAUAAAGGCUCAGGACACCGGGAUAUGAGCUUCAGGAAAAGGCGGUGAACGAGUGCUGAUGAUGUGGCGUGGCCUGGUUCAACCCAGGAAGCCCAGUUCGAACCCAAGCGGGACUCUGGCCCUCUUCGGGUCGGCAGUCUUUGCAGUUCUGAACGCGCUGGGAAAAGGGAACCAUGCUCCGUCUUGAAGGUGGCAGGAAGUGACUCAUUCUACGCAUCAGGAGCACCUACUCCGUGCAAGGCACUUGACAUUAGGUGCUGCAGGAACUACCAAGAUGAAGCAGACAGUCCCUGCCCUUGAGGAGCUUACAAUCUAAUCAUGAACACUAUGUACAUAUAUACAGUGCAGAGAAGCAACCAAUUUUUCUGGAUGCGGGGUAUUCCAGGCCAGAGGUGUUCCUGUUCUUAAAGUUUCCUUUAAAUGCCAAAAGUCGAAACCACCCCACCCAACCAGAUGGUAAGCACUGAGAAACUCUCUCUCUCUAACCUUAAGAUUUUAGAUGCCUGUUCUUUUCAUUAAAAAAAAAAAAAAAAAAAAAAAAGUCCUAUGUGAACAUACAUAUAAUUCGAAGCUGAGCACGAAGAUUAGCACAGGCAUUGGGUAAACAUAAACUAUGUAUCACUAUACACAACACACUAAUUUUUCUAUGCGGUCUUGUUUCUGUAUAAACAGGUUUGAUAUUCAUGUUCCUUUCGUAAAGUACAAAUCUGAGUCAAAGUCCUGAAGAAGCCAUAAUAGCCCAUUUUUGCUUUUAAUUUUGCAUUAGCACCCAGACCAAAGCGCGCGACACCCCAGCAGUCUGGUCGCCAAACGUAAAACCGAUAAAGCACGAAAGCAUCUCGUAGCCAUUUUGCCACCUCUUCCGGGGUCCAGCCUGAUCACCUUACGGGAUCUUUCUGCGAGAGUAACGGGAUGUCGUGAUGGCGAGGGAAGCAGAUUUUUACCAUGGAAACGAACAAGAUUUAGAGUGCCGAACUUUAAAUGAACCUCCCCGGCCCAGUGACGGCAGCUCACCUGGACGGGCUCCGCCUGUACCGCGUCGGGAGGCGGGCAUCAUCUUGUCUUCUUUUCAGCUCCCGCCCGGCCUGGAACGAAUGGCACCGCCGUGUUGGCCAUCUGAACAAUCCUGCCCUGAAUAAACUCAUUCACCGACUGGGACCUCAGGCUGUAUAUUAAGACCCGCCCCACCCCGAGUAUAAUUAUAACUCAAAAAAAAAGCAAGGGAAGAAAAGCUGAGUCACCUAAUCAGAUAAAGACACUGGGGGAGAAGCAGUCCUAUUCUAAAAGGAGUAACUUCUUUAUAGGAUAGUUUUUUUAACAGCCAUUCGCCCCUUAAAUUGAUUGGUUGAAACACAGCAAGUUUUCAGAAGCAGCCCUGCUCUACCACGGAGUACAUUUGCAGAGGGAGGCCGCAGCCUGCCUACCAGACUCAGCCUGGCUAGAAGGCUUGGUGCUGACCUACAGCAGCACCUGGGAAACGAGUGCCCAGUCUUCUGAAAAACCCCACUGUUUCAUCAGGACAGUGACGCUAUAGUAUUUCAGACCAUUAGAAACAACUCUGUAUUUUGCAAAUUUGACUUAAUUCCACUUAAGGACAGUCAGAUUUCACAUGCUCUGUAAUCACUUACAAAGUUUUUUUAACGUUUUUUAUUUUGAGAGAGAGAGAGGAAGAGACAGAGAGCGGGGAAGGGAAAGAGCGGGAGACAGAAUCCCAAGCAGGCUCUGCACUGCCGGUACGGGGCCCGAUGUGGGGCUCAAUCCUAUGAACCAUCAGAUCAUGGCCUGAGCGGAAAUCAGAGAGCUGGACACUAAACCGACUGAGCCACCCAGGCGCCCCUGGGAUCACUUUAAAUAGCAGGUAUCAUCUUAGCAAAUGUGAAGAUCAUAACUCCACAAACCUUUCUUAGCCUCAAGAAAGAGCAGUUCGAAGUUUAAUAACUAUCAGACCUGAGACACACACCUACUCCGCUUGAAGCUGUGCAUGCUUCCACUAACGACUAACACGAAAACAAGUCACCGCAGUUAGAUCUUUUAGAGGCACCCGUAAAACCGACAACCUUGAGGGACAAGGUUAGAUUCUUGAGACACGCUGGAGCCUCACCGAACUGUGCAACUCCACGGACACACAGAAAGGGAGCGUGUGAGCAGAAAGGUGUGUUCGUGAUUGAUCACGGGAGCCACGCGGACGCCCUCAAGGAUCCACGGGGGGCUAACAUUAAGACAUUCAUUCAUUUUUCUGCCUAUUGGCUGUUUUCACCGCCCAAUCUCUUUAAAAAAAAAACAAAAAACAAAAACAAAACCAAAAAAGGGCAGAAUAUACCUUUCCC